Molecule: ribosomal RNA, 368 nt
Filed under: uncultured Methanosaeta sp.
Lineage: Archaea; Methanobacteriati; Methanobacteriota; Methanomicrobia; Methanotrichales; Methanotrichaceae
Description: bacterial SSU rRNA
Rfam family: Archaeal small subunit ribosomal RNA
Source: RNAcentral
AUUAGCUGAGAGGUGGUGCAUGGCCGUCGUCAGUUCGUACUGUGAAGCAUCCUGUUAAGUCAGGCAACGAGCGAGACCCACGUCCACAGUUGCCAGCAUACCCUCCCGGGGUGAUGGGUACACUGGUGGAGACCGCCGCUGCUAAAGCGGAGGAAGGAGUGGGCAACGGUAGGUCAGUAUGCCCCGAAUCUCCCGGGCUACACGCGGGCUACAAUGGUUGGUACAAUGGGCAUCUACCCCGAAAGGGGAAGGAAAUCCUACUUAAAGCCAAUCGUAGUUCGGAUUGAGGGCUGCAACUCGCCCUCAUGAAGCUGGAAUCCGUAGCAAUCGCGUUUCAACAGAACGCGGUGAAUACGUCCCUGCUCCUU